Molecule: ribosomal RNA, 860 nt
Filed under: uncultured soil archaeon
Lineage: Archaea
Description: bacterial SSU rRNA
Rfam family: Archaeal small subunit ribosomal RNA
Source: RNAcentral
ACCCGACUGCUAUCGGAUUGAGAUUUAGCCAUGCGAGUCGAACGUCCCCCUGUUGCGGGGGGCGUGGCGUACGGCUCAGUAACACGUAGUCAACCUGCCCUGGAGACAAGGACAACCCCGGGAAACUGGGAUUAAUCCUUGAUAGGUCAUCUCAUCUGGAAGGAGAGAUGGCUUAAAGGGGUACGCGGGCUUCUUCCGCGAAUCUGCUCCAGGAUGGGACUGCGUCCGAUCAGGCUGUUGGCGGGGUAAUGGCCCACCAAACCUGUAACCGGUACGGGCCUUGAGAGAGGUGGCCCGGAGAUGGACACUGAGAGAAGGGUCCAGGUCCUACGGGGCGCAGCAGGCGCGAAACCUCCGCAAUGCGCGAAAGCGUGACGAGGUUAAUCCGAGUGACUUCCGCUGAGGAGGUCUUUUGUCAGCUGUAAAUAGGCAGGCGAAUAAGGGGAGGGCAAGCCUGGUGUCAGCCGCCGCGGUAAUACCAGCUCCUCGAGUGGUCGGGGCGAUUAUUGGGCCUAAAGCAUCCGUAGCCGGUUCCGUAGGUCCUCUGUUAAAUCCAACCGCUUAACGGUUGACCUGCAGAGGAUACCGCGGGACUAGGAGGCGGGAGAGGCGGACGGUACUCCGCGUGUAGGGGUAAAAUCCUUUGAUCCGCGGAAGACCACCAGUGGCGAAAGCGGUCCGCCGGAACGCGCUCGACGGUGAGGGAUGAAAGCUGGGGGAGCGAACCGGAUUAGAUACCCGGGUAGUCCCAGCCGUAAACGAUGCUAGCUAGAUGAUUCAUUCGCAAGUCGCGAAUGAAGUGUCGCAGGAAGCCGUUAAGCUAGCCGCCUGGGGAGUACGGUCGCAAGACUGAAACUUAA